UACCCCCAGCAAUGGGCAAAGAGACACCUUGUUGGUGUUGUUCUUUAUGAGUCAGGGCCAGAGCAGAUAGCAGUCCUUCUGUUCAUUCUAGCUUGAUGUCUGGCUUGGUGGCCAAACCUGUCUUAUACCUAAGACACAUUA
Molecule: small nucleolar RNA, 141 nt
Organism: Acomys russatus (golden spiny mouse)
Lineage: Eukaryota; Metazoa; Chordata; Mammalia; Rodentia; Muridae
Product: small nucleolar RNA SNORA48
Exons: 1
Source: RefSeq, a predicted model, not a curated record